RNAcentral lists this ribosomal RNA (497 nucleotides) under uncultured bacterium. RNAcentral describes it as "partial 16S ribosomal RNA". It matches the Rfam family "Bacterial small subunit ribosomal RNA", at positions 28 to 507 of the family's 1533-position model. The record is from RNAcentral.
GAUGAACGCUGGCGGCGUGCCUAAUACAUGCAAGUCGAGCGAACAGACGAGGAGCUUGCUCCUCUGACGUUAGCGGCGGACGGGUGAGUAACACGUGGAUAACCUACCUAUAAGACUGGGAUAACUUCGGGAAACCGGAGCUAAUACCGGAUAAUAUAUUGAACCGCAUGGUUCAAUAGUGAAAGACGGUUUUGCUGUCACUUAUAGAUGGAUCCGCGCCGCAUGAGCUAGUUGGUAAGGUAACGGCUUACCAAGGCAACGAUGCGUAGCCGACCUGAGAGGGUGAUCGGCCACACUGGAACUGAGACACGGUCCAGACUCCUAAGGGAGGCAGCAGUAGGGAAUCUUCCGCAAUGGGCGAAAGCCUGACGGAGCAACGCCGCGUGAGUGAUGAAGGUCUUCGGAUCGUAAAACUCUGUUAUUAGGGAAGAACAAAUGUGUAAGUAACUAUGCACGUCUUGACGGUACCUAAUCAGAAAGCCACGGCUAACUACGUG